CGUAAAGACGCAUGCAGGUGGUUUGUUUAAGUCAGAUGUGAAAGACCCGGGGCCGUCAACCUACCGGAAUUGUCAUUUAGUAAACUAGGCAGACUAGAGUACUGUAGGAGGGGGGUAGGAAUUUCUAGGUGUAGCGGUGAAAUGCGUAGAGAUCUAGAAGGAAUACCGGUGGCGAAGGCGGCCCCCCUCGGACAGAUACUGACACUCAGAUGCGAAAGCGUGGGGGAGCAAACAGGAUUAGAUACCCCUGGUAG
This 254-nucleotide ribosomal RNA is filed under the name uncultured bacterium. Its description in RNAcentral is "partial 16S ribosomal RNA". It matches the Rfam family "Bacterial small subunit ribosomal RNA", at positions 559 to 793 of the family's 1533-position model. The record is from RNAcentral.